Molecule: ribosomal RNA, 446 nt
Filed under: uncultured beta proteobacterium
Lineage: Bacteria; Pseudomonadati; Pseudomonadota; Betaproteobacteria
Description: bacterial SSU rRNA
Rfam family: Bacterial small subunit ribosomal RNA
Source: RNAcentral
GGAGGAAAGCAGGGGAUCGCAAGACCUUGCGCUCAUUGAGCGGCCGAUGCCUGAUUAGCUAGUUGGUGAGGUAAAGGCUUACCAAGGCGACGAUCAGUAGCUGGUCUGAGAGGACGACCAGCCACACUGGGACUGAGACACGGCCCAGACUCCUACGGGAGGCAGCAGUGGGGAAUUUUGGACAAUGGGAGAAACCCUGAUCCAGCCAUGCCGCGUGAGUGAAGAAGGCCUUCGGGUUGUAAAGCUCUUUCAGCCGGAACGAAACGGUCACGGCUAAUACCUGUGACUACUGACGGUACCGGAAGAAGAAGCACCGGCUAACUACGUGCCAGCAGCCGCGGUAAUACGUAGGGUGCGAGCGUUAAUCGGAAUUACUGGGCGUGAAGCGUGCGCAGGCGGUUUUGUAAGUCAGAAGGGAAAUCCCCGGGCUUAACCUGGGAACUGCG